Molecule: ribosomal RNA, 393 nt
Filed under: uncultured bacterium
Lineage: Bacteria
Description: partial 16S ribosomal RNA
Rfam family: Bacterial small subunit ribosomal RNA
Source: RNAcentral
AUACGGAGGGUGCAAGCGUUAUCCGGAUUUAUUGGGUUUAAAGGGUGCGUAGGCGGUUUGAUAAGUCAGCGGUGAAAUAUUUCAGCUUAACUGGAAGGGUGCCGUUGAUACUGUCGAGCUUGAAUUUAGUUGCUGUGGGUGGAAUGUGUGGUGUAGCGGUGAAAUGCAUAGAUAUCACACAGAAUAUCGAUUGCGAAGGCAGCUCACAAAGCUAAUAUUGACGCUGAUGCACGAAAGUGUGGGGAUCAAACAGGAUUAGAUACCCUGGUAGUCCACACUGUAAACGAUGAUAACUCGCUGUCGGCGAUACAUAGUCGGGGGCCAAGCGAAAGCGAUAAGUUAUCCACCUGGGGAGUACGACCGCAAGGUUGAAACUUAAAGGAAUUGACGGGG